GACGAACGCUGGCGGCGUGCUUAACACAUGCAAGUCGAACGGAAAGGCCCUGCUUUUGUGGGGUGCUCGAGUGGCGAACGGGUGAGUAACACGAGAGUAACCUGCCCUUGACUUUGGGAUAACUUCAGGAAACUGGGGCUAAUACCGGAUAGGAGCUCCUGCUGCAUGGUGGGGGUUGGAAAGUUUCGGCGGUUGGGGAUGGACUCGCGGCUUAUCAGCGUGUUGGUGGGGUAGUGGCUUACCAAGGCUUUGACGGGUAGCCGGCCUGAGAGGGUGACCGGCCACAUUGGGACUGAGAUACGGCCCAGACUCCUACGGGAGGCAGCAGUGGGGAAUAGUGCACAAUGGGCGGAAGCCGUAUGCAGCAACGCCGCGUGCGGGAUGACGGCCUUCGGGUUGUAAACCGCUUUCGCCUGGGACGAAGCGUGAGUGACGGUAAUGGGUAAAGAAGCACCGGCUAACUACGUG
Molecule: ribosomal RNA, 468 nt
Filed under: uncultured bacterium
Lineage: Bacteria
Description: partial 16S ribosomal RNA
Rfam family: Bacterial small subunit ribosomal RNA
Source: RNAcentral